GCGGGUGUAGUACAGUGGUAGUAUGCUAGCUUCCCAAGCUAGAGAUGGGAGUUCGAUUCUCCUCACCCGCUCCA
RNAcentral lists this transfer RNA (74 nucleotides) under bacterium. Its description in RNAcentral is "tRNA-Gly". It matches the Rfam family "tRNA". From Rfam's summary of the family: Transfer RNA (tRNA) molecules are approximately 80 nucleotides in length. Their secondary structure includes four short double-helical elements and three loops (D, anti-codon, and T loops). Further hydrogen bonds mediate the characteristic L-shaped molecular structure. tRNAs have two regions of fundamental functional importance: the anti-codon, which is responsible for specific mRNA codon recognition, and the 3' end, to which the tRNAs corresponding amino acid is attached (by aminoacyl-tRNA synthetases). tRNAs cope with the degeneracy of the genetic code in two manners: having more than one tRNA (with a specific anti-codon) for a particular amino acid; and 'wobble' base-pairing, i.e. permitting non-standard base-pairing at the 3rd anti-codon position. The record is from RNAcentral.